AGUUCCGUGGUGUUUUGUACAUUUUGAAUUGCAAAUUCAAAGAAGCAGUAUUAAAUUCUGCCGGGACUU
RNAcentral lists this transfer RNA (69 nucleotides) under Macroglossus sobrinus. Its description in RNAcentral is "tRNA-Cys". Lineage: Eukaryota; Metazoa; Chordata; Mammalia; Chiroptera; Pteropodidae. The record is from RNAcentral.